CCUUAUCAAGAGCGGCGGAGGGAACAGGCCCUUUGAUGCCCGGCAACCUGCCUUGCGGCAAGGUGCUAAAUCCUGCGGCGGUUGAACCGGCCGGGAGAUGAGG
This 103-nucleotide non-coding RNA is filed under the name human gut metagenome. RNAcentral's name for it is "SAM riboswitch (S box leader)". It matches the Rfam family "SAM riboswitch aptamer (S box leader)". Rfam says of the family: The SAM riboswitch is found upstream of a number of genes which code for proteins involved in methionine or cysteine biosynthesis in Gram-positive bacteria. The SAM riboswitch acts at the level of transcription termination control. The record is from RNAcentral.